RNAcentral lists this ribosomal RNA (208 nucleotides) under Vibrio sp. OPT24. Its description in RNAcentral is "partial 23S ribosomal RNA". It matches the Rfam family "Bacterial large subunit ribosomal RNA", at positions 35 to 245 of the family's 2925-position model. Lineage: Bacteria; Pseudomonadati; Pseudomonadota; Gammaproteobacteria; Vibrionales; Vibrionaceae. The record is from RNAcentral.
GGCAGUCAGAGGCGAUGAAAGGCGUAAUAACUUGCGAUAAGCCCAGAUUAGGUAGUAAUAACCUUUUGAGUCUGGGAUUCCUGAAUGGGGAAACCCACGUGCAUAAGCACGUAUCCUGUUGUGAAUACAUAGCAACAGGAGGCAAACCGGGGGAACUGAAACAUCUAAGUACCCCGAGGAAGAGAAAUCAACCGAGAUUCCGAAAGUA